ACGACACUCUAUUGUUAAAACCGCUUCUCGUACAAUCACCGAAGUUAAGCAACGUCGAGCCUGGUUAGUACCUAGCUGGGUGACGACUGCUUGGGAAUACAAGGUGCUGUAAG
Acanthosepion pharaonis is the source of this 113-nucleotide non-coding RNA. The record is from the annotation of a GenBank genome assembly. NCBI's taxonomy places the organism in Eukaryota, Metazoa, Mollusca, Cephalopoda, Sepiida, Sepiidae.